Chelonia mydas (Green sea turtle) is the source of this 2957-nucleotide long non-coding RNA. RefSeq lists it as uncharacterized. The transcript is spliced from 3 exons. Lineage: Eukaryota; Metazoa; Chordata; Testudines; Cheloniidae. The record is from RefSeq and is a predicted model, not a curated record.
CCACCAUAAGCUGAAAGCGAGGACAUGAUGUAGCAAGGAAGAAUUUGGUCUUGCUUAGACAAUCAGCUGCACAGUUGCAGUAUUACUAACAUGGAGCUGACCUUAAGCCUGGGUGUCUGUAAUUAUAAGUUUCUUACUUCAGUUGCUUUACUGAAGACACUGACAAUCUCCCCAGCAGCUCAGAGGAAGGCUCACCACCCGAAAUCUGCUGUUCCCAUUCAGCACCACCUCAGACUUUCGGCUGCUAGAACUGCAAAGCCUGGCAGUUCAGUUAUAAAUGAAACAAAUCCCAAGUACUGGAAAGAACAUACUGAUGGCAAAGAAAAGUCUGCCUCAUGACCCAGACAGAACGAAUGCUCAUUAGUCAGCUCUAUUAGAACAAUGGAUAAAGCUUCUGAGAGUGAAGGUGGCCUCGCUUAAGACUUUUUGACUCAGGCUGCUUUGUCAAUUUAGGUCAACAGCUCUGCUAGUAAGGCUAAUAGCAGUAUGUCUCCAGGCGUUGUCAGUCUGGCACUUUGAUCUUGACAGAGCAGCUGAACGAUAUGCAAGAAAAAGGGGGUGUUGGGAGGAGGAGAGGGAAUCUCUGUUGAAAGGCAGCAGUCAAAAGACAUUGUCUCAAGAAAAUUUCUCAGUUGCAAGAAACCUAGCACAGCUUGAACCAUUUCCCUGAAUUAUUUAACUGGGGAAAAAUACACCAAAAACCUCCUUUAAUGGAAAAGUCAGAGUGCACGUGAUGUGCAUGUUCAACAAAAUUAGGUAAUUGGAGGUUUAUUUGCUGAAUGUCCUAAAUAAUAAGCAGGAAACCCAAGAAGAAGGAGGUUACAAUGUAAUAGCUUAAGGGAAAGGUUAAAGCGAUCUGGAUGGCCCCACAUUGAAGAGUGGAAAAAAUAAACCAUUUUGAUGAAAAACAGAUGCCAUGUCAUUGCUCAGGUUGAGUGAGUAGACUUGAACCUAUCAAAUAAUGACUUAAUUACAGAGACCCAUAACAUUAAAAGAAUUGAAUGAUUAACGUCUGCAAAACUAUCCAGAUUUACAGAGGAUCAUUACUGAACCACUAUGCUGGAAUAGAUUUAGUAGUGCGUGCUGGGAAACCUACUUUAGCUGUCUGAGAUCUAUUGUCUGGACUCAGAAACAGAGUGAUCCAGUGGACAGGGCAUCUCACUGGGAGUCAGGAGACCUGUUUGGGUUUUUUUAAUUCUUGAUUCUACCACUGCCCUGCUGUAUGACCUCAGGCAAAUCACUUCAUCUUUCUGUGCCUCAAUUUCCUACCUGUGAAAUCAUGCUUUCUUUUGAAAAGCACUGAGAUCUACAGAUAAAAAUCGUUCUCAAUGAAUUAUUAACAUCUUGAAAAUAUGAUUAAGGGAAGAAUAAUUAGAGAUAUUUACAAGUGUGUAAAGGUGACAUUGGCACAGUUUAGGAUUGGAGAUCUUACAUGAAACCUAAAUAGUUUGUAUGUCACUGGGCUAUUUUUAAAAGUGUAUGCUUGUAAGAAUCUUAUGAAACUAUCCACUUUGCAAUAAUGUAUAUUCUUAAAGCUUUCUUGCAUACAGAAAAUGAUGGCUAUUGCAGAGCAACCUGAAUUGUUCAAGUACCAGAAAGAACAUGAGCAGCUGAUGAAAGAACUGAAUGUAUGGACAGAAGGUGGGUGAUGUAAUAGCUUUUAUUGGAAGAACUUCUGUUGGAGAGAGAGCAAGACAUGCUUUCAAGCCACAUAAUGCUCUUCUUCAGGUCUGUAUAGGGGUAUCAGGCAUCGGAUGAAGGUAUAAAACUCAAAGGAAACCAGCCUGGAAUAACAGUAUUCAAUUAACCAUACUGGUGAAUGCAUCAUUGUUACUGUUUUUACAAAACUUCUGACAGGUUUUCUUUAUUCUCCCUGUUCACCUUCUAAAAUUAGACACAGAGAGCUAGGUUGCAACUGGCUUUAAUGAAGUUGUACAGGGGAGAAAAGAGUUAUGGGUGCUCUCUCACCUUCCUGCAAAGCCUAUCCAGAUUGCCAUUGUGUGGUUGGGAUAGGAAACAGGCUCAACAGGGCUCCUUCUUCCCCACUCUCCCUGUAGGUGGGUGGAAAACAGGAGAGGAAGGGAGUGCCUUGGCUCCACUCACCAAUACGUUUAACAGCCGAGCUGGUUCAGAGUGGAGGGAAGUGGGCAUGUUGCUCCCUAUGAAAAGGCAAUCAGAACUCCCUCCCCCAGAACAGGGAAGCUAGGAAAGGAAUGGUAACUCUGAAAGUCACAUUCCUUCUUUGGACUAUUCCUGGGGCAGUGCAGUCCUCAGACAGGGUGAGAUAUGGGAUGUUAAGUCUCAGACAAGCCAAGUAUGAGGUAGAAACAUCCUUAGGUCAUCUCAUCCACCCCUCAAGGGCCAAUGCAGGAGUGUCUCCUAUUCUAUCCAUCCUUACGUGUGUCAAGCAAUGAGGCUCCUAUUACUUUGGGGGAGAUUGUUGUAUUGUCUGAUAAAUCUAACCAUUAGGUAUUUUUCCUUGAUAUUCACUUUACACUUUAACUACAUUCUAACAGUGAACCAGAGAAAGGUUUGGCAUGUGUAAACAAAAUUGAGCGAUUGCAGUUUGAUAUACCCUUGGGUGAUGGAACUCAAGAUCUCCCAAUAGCAAGGUCAAAUGCAAAAUGUUUUAGUUCUUCAUUUAAAGACAUCCCAACUGCUGUAUAAGGGGAUAAAUAUGAAGACUUUCCACUCUGUCUGAGAACAUCAAGAUGAAUCAGAAGCCAGACUCGUUUGACCUUGGAGGCUGCUCAAGAAGAUACAUCCUUCAUACAAAUGAACAAUCUUUUCCUGGCAGUAUGACAUUGUUGUCUGUUUCACAUGAUGUACUGGUUUCCUAUGUCAUAUUUAAGUGCCUCCAAAAAGUUAUAUUAGUGCUAGUGUGGCUUGAUAUUUGUACAGUAACUGGCUGUGUCACUUCUGUUAAUACUCUCUCAGGAAGCCAAAUAAAUGGUGCC